GAUGAACGCUGGCGGCGUGCCUAAUACAUGCAAGUCGAGCGAACAGACGAGGAGCUUGCUCCUCUGACGUUAGCGGCGGACGGGUGAGUAACACGUGGAUAACCUACCUAUAAGACUGGGAUAACUUCGGGAAACCGGAGCUAAUACCGGAUAAUAUAUUGAACCGCAUGGUUCAAUAGUUAAAGACGGUUUUGCUGUCACUUAUAGAUGGAUCCGCGCCGCAUUAGCUAGUUGGUAAGGUAACGGCUUACCAAGGCAACGAUGCGUAGCCGACCUGAGAGGGUGAUCGGCCACACUGGAACUGAGACACGGUCCAGACUCCUACGGGAGGCAGCAGUAGGGAAUCUUCCGCGAUGGGCGAAAGCCUGACGGAGCAACGCCGCGUGAGUGAUGAAGGUCUUCGGAUCGUAAAACUCUGUUAUUAGGGAAGAACAAAUGUGUAAGUAAAUAUGCACGUCUUGACGGUACCUGAUCAGAAAGCCACGGCUAACUACGUG
RNAcentral lists this ribosomal RNA (497 nucleotides) under uncultured bacterium. RNAcentral's name for it is "partial 16S ribosomal RNA". It matches the Rfam family "Bacterial small subunit ribosomal RNA", at positions 28 to 507 of the family's 1533-position model. The record is from RNAcentral.